GUAUAUGGCCAUACCUCCUGAAUCCACCUGGUCUUGUCUGAUCUUGGAAGCUAAGCAGGGUGGAGUCUGGUUAAUACUUGGAUGGGUGCUGGUCUAUUGAUUGAUUCAUUUCGAAGUUAUAAAAA
This 125-nucleotide ribosomal RNA is filed under the name Microtus ochrogaster (prairie vole). The record is from RNAcentral. Lineage: Eukaryota; Metazoa; Chordata; Mammalia; Rodentia; Cricetidae.